UAGUAGAGGAAGGGGAUUGUGAACGAGAUCACGUGAACUCAAUUUCAUGGGAUUGUCCGUGUUAGACGGAAGCAUUAGCAGAAUGGCCGGAAGUAGACAGGAAGUAUAUAGAUCUGUGUUGCUGGGUAUGGUUGCAGCCUCCUCUGUGGGCCCUCCUGCUAGUGAAGACAUAUCAAGGAAGUUCUUUCUACUCUGGAAAUGUGUCCAUGCUCUACAAUUAUACAAUAUAAAAUAUCCAUGACAACUCAUCAUCAGAUUCUAUAUAACAUUAUUAUGAACUGCAGACAAGCCAUGACAUUGUAAAGAUUACACGUACAUUAUGAACGAUAUGAGUCAGAAUGUGUUGUCAGAGUCCGGUCUUCUGUGUUUGGGUAACGGUUCGUGAACAAUUUUUUGACAGAACUUACCUGAUCAACUAUAAUAUAUAUAUAGUGUAGAAGAGUGAUGCUUUCACAAAUUCAUUUAAGGCCAGGAUUUUCAUCACAAAAGUUUAGGGAAUCGAUGGAUCUCAAUUAAAAUAGCACAGCACGCUGGUGAAGGUAACUUAGGUUGAAAGAACUGGAGUGAUGAGUUGAUAGAGGGGGUGUAAGGGUAUAUUCAGAACGUACUGACAAGUUCCAAAUGAGCUGGCACUGAACACACAAGGUGACGAUGACAUCAACUCUUGGAAGCUUGACAAUGGUGAGCACGUUCUUGAUGGCAAUUAGUUAAUUCAACACUGACUUGGCAACCAAGAAGUGGAGAGAUUCAAGAGUUGCUGGUCGACUCAGGUAAAGGCUGAUGAGAACAGACAGGGGAUGUCUGCUGCUUCUUGCUUUUCUUUCGCUGAAAAAAACGCAAUUUCUGACUUCCCAUGCCCAUUGUUACAAUCACACCUGUGUGGGAAAAGAGCAACAUGACAUUUUCACACUUUUUCAUUGAGGCAAAAUUCUUCUUUCGAGUUAGUACAGCUACUAUGUAAUAGCUAUUCUCAUAGAGUAAAGCUAAGAGAAUCAGAAAAUUCACACUAAAACUUUCAAUUGUGAACAGUCAGAUCAGGACACCCCACACAAAGAAGGCACCCCAUUCGACCUAUUUCACAACACUGGAGAACAACAAAAAGCUUACAUAUUAAAAAAAGGGGCUAUCCUGUUAAAGCUCAAGUCAAGGAAACAGCUAAUGUGCUUACUAGCUUCUAAAAGUGUAUCAGAAACUAGAUUCUCCCCAAACAGUGCUAAAAACAGGUAAAUGGUGAGUCAUAGCUAACUUGUAGCUCAACAGUAGUAUCUUUUUACUUAAAACGCUCAAAAUAUUGUUAGUAUAGAUUACUACUGACAUUAAAGCUCUUAGAUAGUCGUUUCUUACCUUUAGAACAGAGUAAAACUCUGAAAAGUCUUUAGCCCGCUCAAAAUUAGCCAAUUCGCGGUCUAACACGGAUAGACCUCAGCUCUCAUGUAUGAUCUAUAGCGCACGUGAUCUCGUUCACAAUCCCCUUCCUCUACUAUCUAUGAUUCGACCAACCGUUGCUAACGCGUCAUCGCUGCCUUGGCAAAAGUCUUGGUGCUAUAAAAUCACAGUUGUACAAGAGCAAAACUUCAUUGUGUGUGUUGUCAAGUCUUUAUUGAGAAAAAGGAAAAAGAAAAAAAAGUAGCUGAGACGACUAUCAUGAAGACAGAAGUGCAAUGUGCCUGUGCGUUCUUCUGUCGAAUGCUACAACAAAAAAGUCUUCCCCUUCAAUUCGCAGAUGUAUUCCGAAACAAACUAGAAGACC
Molecule: long non-coding RNA, 1750 nt
Organism: Halichondria panicea
Lineage: Eukaryota; Metazoa; Porifera; Demospongiae; Suberitida; Halichondriidae
Exons: 2
Source: RefSeq, a predicted model, not a curated record